RNAcentral lists this long non-coding RNA (2941 nucleotides) under Triticum aestivum (bread wheat). RNAcentral's name for it is "long non-coding RNA (TAES_LNC008299)". Lineage: Eukaryota; Viridiplantae; Streptophyta; Magnoliopsida; Poales; Poaceae. The record is from RNAcentral.
UCUGCUCCGUCGGGCGCGAGCGAGGACAAAACGAAGCCGAUGACCCCUCCCUGCCAGCUGGCCGCAGGCCCCGCUCGGCAGCCCCUCAGCCGUUGACCCCGCCUCUGCCACGUGUGUAAGUGGAGGCGUAAAACACUCUAGUACGUUUUCGCUUACAGAAAGCAUACUUUCCCCUAAAUCCGUUUUCUGUUAGAAUAAGCGUAUUUCCUCUCUGUUCCAGCCCAGAAUGCGUUUUCUUAAUCAGAAAGCGUAUUUCUAACUUUGCGCUUCUGCCUUACCCACUCAGGUACUUGUUUAUGAUGAUAUUUUUGCAGAAAAGUCCCUGAACUUCAACCCUUCAUAACUUUUCAACCGUAACUCCAAAUGAGGUGAUUCCAAAGCCCACUUCUUCGUCUCGUCGAGCCUGUUCUGUUGGUUUCAUUUUCACUAUGGUUUGACACUGUGAAAAUGACCAUUUUGCCCUUGCGCUAAAUCAGGCCCUCCGAGAGAGAACGUUUUCCGGCGAUUCUUUUCGCGGCUUCACCGCACUUCUUCCCGGUGCCUUCUUCACCCCCAGGCAAGCCACAAUACCCACUUGCAUGAUAGUCAUGCAUUUGCCAUGGUUUUCAACUUGAAUAUUUAUUAAAUGUUUGCUUGUUUAAAAUAUGUGUAUCGUUGUUUCGGUAAUGCUUCUGAGUUUGUGCUUGCUUUCUUGCUGUGUUGUUAUGCACCUGAUUAUCAUGCCCUGCUAGUUGCUAGUAUUCCUUUCAUCUGCUUAUGCUUUCUAGUAGUACAUGUUGAUGUUGGUGAUGGUCUUCGGUGCAUGACUACCGUUUGUCCCGAGUACCAUUGUUAUGCAUGUUUCAUUGCAUCCAGUUGGUUAAAUGCUUGCAUUGUUGUUAUGUUCUUGCAUGAUAUUUGUUGUUGAUGCUAGUGGUCAUGCUAUAUUUCGGAGAAGUAUGUACUUGUGAUGUUCAUGUUAGUCAGUAUGCCAUGCUCAGUUGGAUAUGAUUUAUUGUUGAUAUGGUGGAUAGUUAUGUGGUACCCUCAUGAUAAUGUUGAUAUCAUGCUCAUGCAUUGUAAUUACAUCAUGUUAUUUUAUCAUGGCUCAGCAUAUUUGCAUUCAAGUUUAACCGGAUUAAAUUGAACUUGAACAACUGUUGGCUGAGUCAUGGUGCCACCAUAUCGAGCUAACCAGUGCAGCCAUGCUUACCUUUAUGGGAAGGUCUUAACUGGGUCUAUUGUCGUGCCUCUCGCUGGUGCCUCCAACUAGGGAAGGUUAUGGGCGUGCUUACCCUGAUUAGGUAGGUGGACAUAACCUUGUGUGCCCGUAGUUGGAUGAUAAGCGUUUUUGUCCCUGUUUGGGACGGACCACGACGGUGGUCGUUGUGUCUUUGGUAGACACGGGGCCACCCAGGACUAGCCCAGUGGGGAGUGAGUCGGAGUGGCCGGGAGAGUGUCAUGGUAGUAGAUCGGUUUUGUUGGAACGCCGUUGGUCCACCUGAAUGGGAGUGCGAGGCCAUGGGUUCCGUGGUGUGGGUACAGUGUACUAACCUCUGCAGAGUGUAUAUUAAAUCUAUCGAUAGCCGCGCCCGCGGAUAAGGGCCCAGUUCGUAGUUGGUCACACUGUGAGUCAACAGUAUUAAUAAUAACUUGAUUAACGACAACCCCGGUUCGACGAUGGGAUAAGUUGGUUGUGAUCGCCGGAAAGAUCACCUGUAAGACCAAGUGUUGGUCAUGGUUGUGAUCGCCGGAAAGAUCACCGUGGUAUCGAGGAUACCGAGUUGUUGGAUAUUCGUGAUGUUGUGCGAGAAUCGUCUGUAAAGAUCAAGCUCCUUGUGGUCAUUUAAUGAUUACUACGGUAUUGUUUAUGCCAAGCUUGAUUUGAUCCUGAGAUGAUCGUGUGAUGUCCGAGGUUGGUAAGUGAUGCAUGUGAUGGCUAAGAGGUAACCCGAAUAGAAUAAAUGGUGCAUAAAGUGUCAUCAUGUUGCAUGCUAGUAUCGUCAGAUUUAUUGGUUCAUGCCAUGCUCAUAUUGUUCUAGCGAUAUUAUGUUCCUGUUGUCCAUGCCAUGUUAUCCUGAUGAUCUCAUGAUAAUUCAUGCUUAACCUAUAAAUGCCAUGUUGAUGUUUGUCUUGAAUGCUUCUGGUUAUUGUGAGCUCACAAGUACAUUCAAUGUACUGACCUGGCGUGUCAAGCCAGUUUGCAGGUCAUGCCGGAUUUGAAUGCUUGUUUGCCGUGGAUUCUUUGUUUGCGAGCUAGGAUAAGUGUUCCAGCCAGAGUCCCUGCGGAGUGGAGUUCACCACCGUCGUCGUUGUUCCGCUGCUAGAGUUAUUCCGCUGCUUCGAGUUGUUCUACUGCUUGCAUAGAGCAACUGAGGAUAGCGUAGUGUCGCCGUGCCGAUGUUAUUCAUUGUAACAUCGGAGACCUUGUAAUCAUAUUCGUGUAAUAAUAGAAAGUUGGUUUGUUCUAUGCUAAGCAGUUCCGUAUUCUAGAAGACUUCUCCUUGAUCUCUGGGCUGGAAUACGGGGCAUUCCGGUUUCUUUGAGCCGGGGUGCCACAGCAUGGUCUCAAGGGCAACACUUCAGCGUGUUUUACAUGCUUACAAGAGGAGGACACCGUGGACCAUAUACUGGUACAGUGCACUUACGCUAGAGAGGUCUGGUACCGUUUCUUCUCGGCUGUUCACAUCCCAGUCCUCAGACCAUCACAUGACAGCACGUUCACGGCAUGGUGGCUGGAAGCGAGGGCAAGGGUGCCGAGCAAGACGAGAAGGACGGGCAGCGUGUUUUCAGAUGCCUGUAGCGGGUGAAUAAGAAAACGUAAUUGCCGUGCCAUCAAAUUUUGGUGUUCGAAAGAGACACUUGGUUUUCAUACGUACGUUAGGAUCAGGAGAUGUCCAAUUAAAUUUCAAAAAAAAAGGAGAUGUCCAAUUAGCUAGUGGAGCAUUUCGGUAAAGAUGCC